GCAUUUAAGGACUUUUCAGGAGA
This 23-nucleotide non-coding RNA is filed under the name Cricetulus griseus (Chinese hamster). Lineage: Eukaryota; Metazoa; Chordata; Mammalia; Rodentia; Cricetidae. The record is from RNAcentral.